AAUAGAAACACUGGAACAGGCGAACACUUCACUUGUAGUAAUUGCGCGGGCGCGACCCCGCUACAAAAAAAUGGAUCGAAGAACCUAUUGUGUGAAAUAAAAAUGUGGUUGUAAAUCCUCUGCAUUGUUAUAGAUUGAUCGAUUUCAAUAUGGUUCUGGAAUAGCUGAUUGACGGACCAAACUUGAUGGUUGCAGAAUUCCCGCAAGUGGCAAACUCCGGAUGAGACGGACCAUACAUGGCAGCGCACAUCUUCUUCAUUUCCGGCGGAAUUUACUCAAAAAAAUUAAAAUAUGUAAUUAAAAUUGUAAUAAAAUAUCCACCAAUAUAGAA
This 331-nucleotide small RNA is filed under the name Drosophila yakuba. RNAcentral's name for it is "GE28644". The record is from RNAcentral. Lineage: Eukaryota; Metazoa; Arthropoda; Insecta; Diptera; Drosophilidae.